This 492-nucleotide ribosomal RNA is filed under the name uncultured bacterium. Its description in RNAcentral is "bacterial SSU rRNA". It matches the Rfam family "Bacterial small subunit ribosomal RNA", at positions 903 to 1397 of the family's 1533-position model. The record is from RNAcentral.
AAAGGAAUAGACGGGGGCCCGCACAAGCAGUGGAGUAUGUGGUUUAAUUCGAAGCAACGCGAAGAACCUUACCAGGACUUGACAUCCCUUGACGUACUUAGAGAUAGGUAUUUCCUACGGGACAAGGAGACAGGUGGUGCAUGGUUGUCGUCAGCUCGUGUCGUGAGAUGUUGGGUUAAGUCCCGCAACGAGCGCAACCCCUGUUGUUAGUUGCCAGCAUGUAAAGAUGGGCACUCUAACGAGACUGCCGGUGAUAAAUCGGAGGAAGGUGGGGACGACGUCAAAUCAUCAUGCCCCUUAUGUCCUGGGCUACACACGUACUACAAUGGUUGUAACAGAGGGAAGCGAAAUCGCAAGGUGGAGCAAAUCCCCAAAAGCAACCCCAGUUCGGAUUGUGGGCUGAAACUCGCCCACAUGAAGUCGGAAUUGCUAGUAAUGGCAGGUCAGCAUACUGCCGUGAAUACGUUCCCGGGCCUUGUACACACCGCCCGU